GUCGAGCGCACUCUUCGGAGUGAGCGGCGGACGGGUUAGUAACGCGUGGGAACAUACCCUUUUCUACGGAAUAGCCUCGGGAAACUGAGAGUAAUACCGUAUACGCCCUUCGGGGGAAAGAUUUAUCGGAGAAGGAUUGGCCCGCGUUUGAUUAGAUAGUUGGUGGGGUAAUGGCUUACCAAGUCUACGAUCAAUAGCUGGUUUGAGAGGAUGAUCAGCAACACUGGGACUGAGACACGGCCCAGACUCCUACGGGAGGCAGCAGUGGGGAAUCUUAGACAAUGGGCGCAAGCCUGAUCUAGCCAUGCCGCGUGAGUGACGAAGGCCUUAGGGUCGUAAAGCUCUUUCGCCAGAGAUGAUAAUGACAGUAUCUGGUAAAGAAACCCCGGCUAACUCCGUGCCAGCAGCCGCGGUAAUACGGAGGGGGUUAGCGUUGUUCGGAAUUACUGGGCGUAAAGCGUACGUAGGCGGAUUAGAAAGUAGGGGGUGAAAUCCCAGGGCUCAACCCUGGAACUGCCUCCUAAACUACUAGUCUAGAGUUCGAGAGAGGUGAGUGGAAUUCCAAGUGUAGAGGUGAA
Molecule: ribosomal RNA, 578 nt
Filed under: uncultured bacterium
Lineage: Bacteria
Description: bacterial SSU rRNA
Rfam family: Bacterial small subunit ribosomal RNA
Source: RNAcentral